AUUACCCAGGGAUCUUGUUAAAAUACACAUUCUGAUUCAGCAGGUCUGGAAUGAACUCUGAGAUUCUGAGUUUGUAGCAAGCUCCCAGGUGAUGCCAA
Molecule: microRNA precursor, 98 nt
Filed under: Camelus ferus (Wild Bactrian camel)
Lineage: Eukaryota; Metazoa; Chordata; Mammalia; Artiodactyla; Camelidae
Description: mir-544 microRNA precursor family
Rfam family: mir-544 microRNA precursor family
Source: Rfam by way of RNAcentral